UACGUAGGCAGCAAGCGUUGUUCGGAAUUACUGGGCGUAAAGAGUGUGUAGGCGGUGUUCUAAGUUUGUCGUGAAAUCUCCCGGCUUAACUGGGAGGGUGCGGCGAAAACUGGAAUGCUAGAGGAUGGGAGAGGUAAGCGGAAUUCCAGGUGUAGCGGUGAAAUGCGUAGAUAUCUGGAGGAAUACCGGUGGCGAAGGCGGCAUCCUGGACCGGCAUUGACGCUGAUGAGCGAAAGCUAGGGGAGCAAACGGG
RNAcentral lists this ribosomal RNA (253 nucleotides) under uncultured bacterium. RNAcentral describes it as "partial 16S ribosomal RNA". It matches the Rfam family "Bacterial small subunit ribosomal RNA", at positions 524 to 776 of the family's 1533-position model. The record is from RNAcentral.